UUGAGUGAAAGGCAAACUUAUCGAAAGAUAAGGACGCAAAGCCACAGGUCUAAGGCAAAAAGCUAGGAUGGCUGGGCUGCCGGC
RNAcentral lists this non-coding RNA (84 nucleotides) under Bacillus thermotolerans. RNAcentral describes it as "Quasibacillus thermotolerans c-di-GMP-I riboswitch aptamer". It matches the Rfam family "c-di-GMP-I riboswitch aptamer". From Rfam's summary of the family: GEMM was predicted in a large-scale screen for bacterial structured RNA regulatory elements. Genes associated with GEMM are involved in a diverse array of functions, including chemotaxis regulation, signal transduction, secretion and chitin. The record is from Rfam by way of RNAcentral. RNAcentral also lists the same sequence under 1 other name. Lineage: Bacteria; Bacillati; Bacillota; Bacilli; Caryophanales; Bacillaceae.